UCGGGAAUUUUGGGCAAUGGGCGCAAGCCUGACCCAGCAACGCCGCGUGAAGGAUGAAAUCCUUCGGGAUGUAAACUUCGCAAGAACGGGAAGAAUAAGUAAGAGUUAAUAUCUCUUACGAUGACGGUACUGUUUGUAAGCUCCGGCUAACUCCGUGCCAGCAGCCGCGGUAAUACGGAGGGUGCAAGCGUUAUCCGGAUUCACUGGGUUUAAAGGGUGCGUAGGUGGGUUGGUAAGUCAGUGGUGAAAUCCCCGAGCUUAACUUGGGAACUGCCAUUGAUACUAUCAGUCUUGAAUAUCGUGGAGGUCAGCGGAAUAUGUCAUGUAGCGGUGAAAUGCUUAGAUAUGACAUAGAACACCAAUUGCGAAGGCAGCUGGCUACACGAAUAUUGACACUGAGGCACGAAAGCGUGGGGAUCAAA
RNAcentral lists this ribosomal RNA (422 nucleotides) under uncultured bacterium. Its description in RNAcentral is "bacterial SSU rRNA". It matches the Rfam family "Bacterial small subunit ribosomal RNA", at positions 355 to 772 of the family's 1533-position model. The record is from RNAcentral.